CCUACGGGUGGCAGCAGUGGGGAAUAUUGCGCAAUGGGCGAAAGCCUGACGCAGCGACGCCGCGUGAGGGAUGAAGGUCUUCGGAUCGGAAACCUCUGUCAGCAGGGAAGAACGGUCACGGGGCUAAGCAGCAGUGAAUGGACGGUACCAGCAAAGGAAGGACCGGCUAACUCCGGGCCAGCAGCCGAGGGAAGACGGAGGGUGCGAGCGUUAAUCGGAAUUAGUGGGCGUAAAGCGCGCGUAGGCGGUAUGUCAAGUCAAGGGUGAAAUCCCCGCGCUCAACGUGGGAACUGCCUUUGAAACUGGCAAACUGGAUUGUGUUAGAGGUUAGUGGAAUUCCAGGUGU
RNAcentral lists this ribosomal RNA (346 nucleotides) under uncultured bacterium. Its description in RNAcentral is "partial 16S ribosomal RNA". It matches the Rfam family "Bacterial small subunit ribosomal RNA", at positions 338 to 676 of the family's 1533-position model. The record is from RNAcentral.